UACAUGGGGUGCAAACGUUGCUCGGAAUUAUUGGGCGUAAAGCGCACGUAGGCGGUUUGUUAAGUCGAAUGUGAAAUCCCUCGGCUCAACUGAGGAAGUGCAUCCGAAACUGGCAAGCUUGAGUACGAAAGAGGGUCGCGGAAUUCCCGGUGUAGAGGUGAAAUUCGUAGAUAUCGGGAGGAACACCGGUGGCGAAGGCGGCGACCUGGGUCGAUACUGACGCUGAGGUGCGAAAGCGUGGGGAGCAAACAGG
Molecule: ribosomal RNA, 253 nt
Filed under: uncultured bacterium
Lineage: Bacteria
Description: partial 16S ribosomal RNA
Rfam family: Bacterial small subunit ribosomal RNA
Source: RNAcentral